UAUGACGUUAGCGGCGGACGGGUGAGUAACACGUGGGCAACCUGCCUGUAAGACUGGGAUAACUUCGGGAAACCGAAGCUAAUACCGGAUAGGAUCUUCUCCUUCAUGGGAGAUGAUUGAAAGAUGGUUUCGGCUAUCACUUACAGAUGGGCCCGCGGUGCAUUAGCUAGUUGGUGAGGUAACGGCUCACCAAGGCAACGAUGCAUAGCCGACCUGAGAGGGUGAUCGGCCACACUGGGACUGAGACACGGCCCAGACUCCUACGGGAGGCAGCAGUAGGGAAUCUUCCGCAAUGGACGAAAGUCUGACGGAGCAACGCCGCGUGAGUGAUGAAGGCUUUCGGGUCGUAAAACUCUGUUGUUAGGGAAGAACAAGUACGAGAGUAACUGCUCGUACCUUGACGGUACCUAACCAGAAAGCCACGGCUAACUACGUGCCAGCAGCCGCGGUAAUACGUAGGUGGCAAGCGUUAUCCGGAAUUAUUGGGCGUAAAGCGCGCGCAGGCGGUUUCUUAAGUCUGAUGUGAAAGCCCACGGCUCAACCGUGGAGGGUCAUUGGAAACUGGGGAACUUGAGUGCAGAAGAGAAAAGCGGAAUUCCACGUGUAGCGGUGAAAUGCGUAGAGAUGUGGAGGAACACCAG
This 641-nucleotide ribosomal RNA is filed under the name Priestia aryabhattai. RNAcentral's name for it is "bacterial SSU rRNA". It matches the Rfam family "Bacterial small subunit ribosomal RNA", at positions 85 to 712 of the family's 1533-position model. The record is from RNAcentral. Lineage: Bacteria; Bacillati; Bacillota; Bacilli; Caryophanales; Bacillaceae.